Molecule: ribosomal RNA, 464 nt
Filed under: Vreelandella stevensii
Lineage: Bacteria; Pseudomonadati; Pseudomonadota; Gammaproteobacteria; Oceanospirillales; Halomonadaceae
Description: partial 16S ribosomal RNA
Rfam family: Bacterial small subunit ribosomal RNA
Source: RNAcentral
CCUACGGGGGGCUGCAGUGGGGAAUAUUGGACAAUGGGCGAAAGCCUGAUCCAGCCAUGCCGCGUGUGUGAAGAAGGCCUUCGGGUUGUAAAGCACUUUCAGUGGGGAAGAAAGCCUUGGGGCUAAUACCCUCGAGGAAGGACAUCACCCACAGAAGAAGCACCGGCUAACUCCGUGCCAGCAGCCGCGGUAAUACGGAGGGUGCGAGCGUUAAUCGGAAUUACUGGGCGUAAAGCGCGCGUAGGCGGUCUGAUAAGCCGGUUGUGAAAGCCCCGGGCUCAACCUGGGAACGGCAUCCGGAACUGUCAGGCUAGAGUGCAGGAGAGGAAGGUAGAAUUCCCGGUGUAGCGGUGAAAUGCGUAGAGAUCGGGAGGAAUACCAGUGGCGAAGGCGGCCUUCUGGACUGACACUGACGCUGAGGUGCGAAAGCGUGGGUAGCAAACAGGAUUAGAUACCCCGGUGUC